AUGGCUAGAAACAUAACAGAGCAAGACGACUCACGUACGCGUCACUCGGCGAGGCUGGCGAGCUUCUUGGGCUCCAUGAAGUGGGAGAGGACGGAGACGGCGAUGUCGAUGCGCUUCACGGCGAGCGAUCCUGCACGCGCAGUACAUGUAGUCGAGCGACUUGCCCACGUCGCCGCCGCCGCCUCUGGCUGCCUGACGGGGCUUGCUGGAGCCGGACUUGGCGGUGGCGGUGGUGUCCGGGUCGUCGGAGAGGUCGACCUUGGCAAGGGCCUCAGUGGCGGCCACAACCGGGUCCGGGUCGUCCCUGUCGGGGCUGCUGUCCGGCGAGGAGGUGGAGGAGUCGGGGGUCUUUCCGGGGACGGGGGCCUUGCCUCUGGCGAGGCACUCAGCGCGGCGCGGGAUGAGGUGCUCCUCCAACAACUUGAUGGCCAGGACGGCGGCCAUGACGCGGUCGAGGGCAUGGGCCUGGGAUCUGGGGCGGACCAGGAACUGUUGCGCGAGCAUCGCAUCGUGGCGUGGGCGUCGGCGUACGCGUCAGAGGUUGGAGGCGAGCUCGCCGAGAGUGGCGUCCGCGUCCGCAGGGGUGGCGGUGGGGGCGCCGUCGUCGGCUGGAGGUCCUGCAUGCGGUGCUGGAGUUGCAGGAGGCGGUCGCGGGUGUCCUGCGGGUUGAAAACAAGUAAUGGCAGGGGGCAAAAUGCAAAACGUUCGGUGUUGCGCAGCUCGGCCGAGCUGGCUCCACUUGGCAGCUGUUGAUUGGCUCAGGACCAAAUUUGCAUCUUGAGGAUAAGUUGGAGGACCAAAUAAUCUACACCAAACCAUCACAUGCAAAACAAGUUGAAGGACCUGCAGUGCUAUUACCUCUUGGAAAAAUAACUGCCACAUGGACAUGUUGACUGGGUCUUCAUCUUCCUUCUCCCCUCACUCUCUCUCUCUCUCUCACAUUACAUCAAACACUUCGUCGCACUGUCGCGAACCAUGGUGCCCUCCCCGCGCCAGGUCACGGGAGCAGCCGGAAGCCCCCCAUCCCGAAGGGCCCGUCCGUGCGCGCGCCGCCAGGACUACCUUCCACCUCGGCGCCGACAAGAGCAGCUCCAUGGCGUUCUUGAGGAGGAGGAGCUCCAUGGCGUCGGAGCAGCGGCGUCCCGAGCAGCUCCAUGGCGACCUCUGUCAAGGCCUAGGUUGGAGAGGCCCCGAGCGAACCCUCGAUCUAGCCAUGGCCGUGGCGGAUCUGGGACCAGCUCGCUCCCUUGAUCUCCCUCCCUCUGCUACUGCUCCUGCCGCGACAGCACGCGGAACGCCGCGGCUGGACGGUGGGGGACCAUGCCGCCGCUGCCUCUGCUCGCAGAUGCACAUGAUGUGUUUGAUGUAAUGUGUGUUAGAGAGUGAGGGGAGGAGGAAGAAGUCCUGGUCAACAUGCCCAUGUGGCAGUUUUUUUUCUUCAACUCAGCCUGAUGGGCGGGCCGAACAGUUCGUGACGUCAGCAAAGCGCUUAGCAUUUACAGUUAGUGUUUUUUGCCACUGUUUUGGCCGGUGUAAAGUGGUGUUUUUCUGCUAAUCGCGCCGUUAUUAUGGUGGUUCUGUGCAUUUUACUCGGGCAUGUUUGUAGGAUAUUGCAGGUCAUUGGCUGAAUUCUCUGCUUUCGUUUCAUGAAUUCAGGGGAAGAUGAAGAUCAGAACUGAGCGAGGACUGGGGGGUUGCUAAGAGAAGCGUUGAGAUGGGGUUCAAACCACUGGAGUGGUACUGUCAGCCAGUGAAGGAUGGGGCAUGGUCUCAUGCCGUCGAAAGCGCGUUUGGCGCAUACACACCCUGCGGCAUUGACACCAUGGUGGUGUGCAUCUCGUACCUCACACUUUUUGGCGUUUGCUUCUAUCGGACAUGGAGGACGACGAAAGACUACAAGGUGCAGAGGUACAAGUUACGCUCGCCGUACUUCAACUAUCUGCUUGGGCUGCUUGUUGUGUACUGCAUAGCAGAGCCGCUGUACAGGAUUGCCACCGGUACCUCCAUCACAAACUUGGAUGGGCAGUCUGGCCUUGCUCCAUUUGAGAUUACUUCACUGGUCAUCGAGUCUGCUGCCUGGUGCUGUAUGCUUAUAAUGCUAUUGCUGGAGACAAAAAUUUACAUCACCGAAUUAAGAUGGUACAUCCGGUUUGUGGUCAUAUAUGUAUUGGUUGGGAAAGCUGCUAUGUUCAAUCUUGUGCUUCCAGUGAGGCAGUACUACAGUUCAAGUUCAAUAUUCUACCUAUACUGCAGCGAGAUAAUAUGCCAGUGCAUUUUUGGAAUUCUCAUGCUGGUGUAUCUGCCUAGCUUGGAUCCCUACCCGGGUUAUACUCCAAUCAGGAGUGAGGUGCUUGUUGAUAAUACUGAUUAUGAACCUCUGCCAGGUGGAGAGCAGAUUUGCCCCGAAAGGCAUGCGAAUAUAUUUUCCUGGAUAUUCUUUUCAUGGGUGACUCCUCUAAUGCAACAAGGAUACAGAAGGCCCAUCACUGAUAAUGAUAUUUGGAAACUAGAUAAUUGGGAUGAGACAGAAACAUUGUAUAGCCGAUUUCAGAAAUGCUGGAACGAUGAACUUCAAAAACCAAAACCUUGGCUGCUACGAGCUCUCCAUAGUAGCCUCGGUGGAAGGUUCUGGCUAGGAGGAUUUUUUAAGAUUGGCAAUGAUGCUUCUCAAUUUGUUGGCCCAACCGUAUUGAGCCUCUUGUUGGAGUCUAUGCAAAAAGGCAAUCCUUCUUGGAAUGGGUACAUCUAUGCUUUCUCAAUCUUUGCUGGAGUGUUACUGGGAGUUCUUGCUGAAGCACAGUACUUUCAGAAUGUCACGCGGGCUGGUUUCAGAUUGAGGUCUACUUUGAUUGCUGCUGUUUUCCGUAAGUCCUUGCGACUGACAAAUGAUAGUCGCAAGAAGUUUGCUUCUGGAAGGAUUACAAAUUUGAUUUCAACCGACGCGGAGUCCCUUCAGCAAGUAUGCCAGCAACUUCACAAUCUGUGGUCAGCUCCUUUUCGCAUUGUUAUUGCCAUGGUCCUGCUAUAUGCACAACUAGGUCCUGCAGCACUUGUCGGUGCCAUCAUGCUGGCUCUUUUGUUCCCAAUUCAGACAGUUAUCAUAAGCAAAAUGGAAAAACUUACCAAGGAAGGGUUGCAAAGGACUGACAGACGAAUCAGUCUCAUGAAUGAAAUAUUAGCUGCGAUGGAUACAGUCAAAUGUUACGCUUGGGAGCAAAGUUUCCAGUCAAAGGUGCAGGACAUCCGUGACGAUGAGCUUUCCUGGUUUCGCAGUGCUCAAUUGCUUGAUGCGCUAAAUAGCUUUAUCCUCAACAGUAUUCCUGUCGUUGUCACGGUGGUUUCGUUUGGUGUUUACUCUCUGAUGGGGGGUGAGUUGACAGCAGCAAAGGCGUUUACCUCUCUUUCACUAUUUGCAGUGUUAAGGUUCCCACUUUUUUUGCUGCCAAAUCUGAUAACUCAGGCUGUUAACAGUAAGAUUUCAUUGAAACGACUGGAAGAUCUCCUCUUGGCUGAUGAGAAGAAUACUUCUGCCAAAUCCACCUAUUGAUCCUGAGCUUCCAGCCAUUUCUAUCAAGAAUGGAAACUUUUCAUGGGAAUUGCAGGCUGAGCGACCAACACUAUCAAAUAUCAAUCUGGACGUGCCUGUCGGCAGUUUAGUUGCAAUAGUAGGAAGCACCGGGGAGGGGAAAACUUCUCUUAUUUCUGCAAUGCUUGGUGAAAUACCACCAGUAUCAGGGUCAGAUACCUCAGUGGUCAUUCAUGGAUCGGUGGCUUAUGUUCCUCAAGUUUCAUGGAUCUUCAAUGCUACCGUACGGGAUAACAUAUUGUUUGGGUCUCCAUUCCAACCUCCAAGCUAUGGGAGAGCAAUAGAUGCUACUUCAUUACGACAUGACCUUGACCUACUCCCAGGUGGUGAUCUCACAGAGAUUGGAGAAAGGGGAGUUAAUAUUAGUGGGGGGCAAAAACAACGAGUUCUAAUGGCAAGAGCUGUUUAUACUGAUUCAGAUGUUUACCUAUUUGAUGAUCCACUGAGUGCAUUAGAUGCCCAUGUUGGUCGACAGGUAUUUGAUAAAUGUAUCAAAGAAGAGCUACGACAUAAAACUCGGGUCCUUGUUACUAAUCAGCUGCAUUUUCUGCCAUACGUGGAUAAAAUUCUGCUGAUCCAUGAUGGAGUAAUUAAAGAGGAGGGUACAUUUGAUGAACUUAGUAACUCUGGGGAGCAGUUCAAAAAACUUAUGGAAAAUGCUGGAAAGAUGGAGGAACAAACAGAAGAGAAACAAGACGAAAGCAAAUCACAGGACGAGAUAAAACACACUGAAAAUGGGGGCGUUGUAAUAGCUGAUGGUGGUCCGCAAAAGAGCCAGGAUAGUUCAAGUAAAACAAAACAGGGAAAAUCUGGUCUUAUUAAGCAAGAGGAACAUGAAACUGGAGUUGUCAGUACAAAGGUCCUUUCACGCUACAAAAAUGCAAUGGGGGGUAUUUGGGCGGUGUCCGUUCUCUUCUUGUGCUAUACACUGACUGAAACUCUACGGAUUUCAAGUAGCACAUGGUUGAGCAUUUGGACUGAUGUGGGUUCUCUGAAAAUCCAUGGCCCUGGUUACUACAACUUAAUCUUUGGCAUUCUUUCUUUUGGGCAGGUUUUAGUCACUCUCACGAAUUCUUACUGGCUGAUCACGUCAAGUCUUCGAGCAGCCAAGAGGUUGCAUGACUACAUGCUCCGGUCUAUAUUAAGAGCUCCCAUGGUAUUUUUUCAUACCAAUCCACUUGGACGGAUCAUCAACAGAUUUUCGAAGGAUUUGGGUGACAUUGACAGGAAUCUUGCUGUCUUUGUCAACUUGUUUAUGGCACAAAUAUCUCAGUUGCUCUCAACAUUUGUUUUCAUUGGUGUUGUCGGCACUAUGUCUCUUUGGGCUAUCAUGCCACUUCUCAUUUUAUUUUAUGCAGCCUACCUUUAUUACCAGACUACAUCAUGUGAGGUAAAGCGCAUGGAUUCUAUUACUAGGUCUCCUGUGUAUGCCCAAUUUUCAGAGGCAUUAAAUGGUCUGUCGACAAUCCGUGCCUCAAAGCCUAUGAUAGAAUGUCAAACAUCAAUGGGAAAUCAAUGGACAACAACAUCAGGUUCACACUCGUGAACCUGAGUUCAAAUAGAUGGCUAGCCAUCCGGCUGGAAACACUGGGUGGCAUCAUGAUAUGGUUCACCGCAACAUUUGCUGUGAUGCAAAACCAAAGAGCAGAGAAUCAGAAGGCCUUUGCUUCCAUGAUGGGUCUUCUUCUUACUUAUACCCUCAAUAUCACCAAUCUGCUCACAGCUGUUCUUCGUCUUGCUAGUCUUGCUGAAAAUAGUAUGAAUGCGGUUCAACGGGUAGGAACAUACAUCGAGUUGCCUUCUGAGGCUCCUCCUGUCAUUGAGGAUAACAGGCCACCUCCUGGUUGGCCAUCAUCUGGUAUCAUCAAGUUUGAAGAUGUUGUGCUUCGGUACCGACCAGAACUUCCACCUGUUCUUCAUGGAAUAUCAUUCAUUGUUAAUGGAAGUGAGAAGGUAGGAAUAGUUGGCAGAACAGGUGCUGGUAAAUCUAGCAUGCUUAAUGCUCUGUUCCGCAUCGUGGAACUGGAGCGUGGGAGAAUAUUGAUUGAUGAUUGUGAUACAUCUAAGUUUGGAAUUUGGGAUCUGCGGAAAGUGUUAGGAAUAAUACCACAGGCACCAGUCCUGUUUUCAGGUACUAUUCGAUUUAAUCUGGAUCCUUUCAGCGAGCAUAAUGAUGCGGAUCUCUGGGAGGCUCUUGAAAGGGCUCAUCUAAAAGAUGUCAUAAGGAGGAAUGCUCUAGGACUAGAUGCUGAGGUUUCUGAGGCCGGUGAAAAUUUUAGCGUUGGACAGCGGCAGUUGCUGAGUUUAGCUUGUGCAUUGCUACGAAGGGCAAAGAUACUUGUUCUUGAUGAGGCAACAGCAGCAGUUGAUGUUCAAACUGAUGCUCUUAUACAGAAGACAAUCAGAGAAGAAUUCAAGAGUUGUACAAUGCUUAUAAUCGCUCACCGUUUGAAUACCAUCAUCGACUGUGACAGGUUGCUUAUUCUAAGUUCUGGGAAGAUUUCGGAAUUUGACACCCCCGAGAAUCUUGUGAGCAACGAGGGAAGUGCUUUCUCCAAGAUGGUUCAGAGUACAGGACCUAGCAAUGCAGAGUAUCUUAAGUCUCUUGUGCUUGGCAAUGGUGAAGAGCGGCUGCGAAAGGAAGAAAGUAAGUUGCAAGAUAUUCAGAGGGAAUGGGCUGCGUCUAACCGAUGGGCUGUCGCUGCCCAGUUUGCGCUUGCUGCUAGCCUCGCGUCAUCCCACAGUGACCUCCUCUCAUUGGAGGCUGCGGACGGAAACAACAUCCUCAGGAAAACAAGGGAUGCAGUAAUCACCCUGCACAGCGUCCUUGAAGGGAAGCACAAUACUGAAAUCGAGGAAUCACUCGCCGAGUAUGAGGUUCCGCUUCCGCCUGAUAGGUGGUGGUCGUCACUUUACAAAGUCAUCCAAGGCCUUGCCACGAUGAGCAAACUGGGUCGCAACCGUCUACGGCAACCUGGUUACAGUUUUGAAAACCACGGCUCAUCGUCUAUUGACUGGGAUCAAAUUUAGGUGUAGGAAACUGCAUUGCAGCACCACUGAAUCCCUGGAACCUGCGUUCGUGGAAUAGUUUGAAGGCGUGCAGUUAUUAACCAUCUUCUUACGAAACCUUUUAUCCCAAACAAGUUGGGGUAGGCUAGAUAUGAAACCCUUUCACGAGGACUUCCCAGGAGGUCACCCAUCCUAGUACUACUCUCGCCCAAAUGGGUUUCAUACCCAAAAGACUGGCUAGUUUUUACGUUGGCUCGCCAAGCCUAUCACAACCCUUAGAUAUGAAACCCUUUCACGAGGACUUCCUAGGAGGUCACCCAUCCUAGUACUAUUCUCGCUCAAAUGGGUUUCAUACCUAUGGGACUUGCUAGUUUUUACGUUGGCUCGUCAAGCCUAUCACAACCCUCCUCCUUUACCCGGGCUUGGGACCGGCUAUGCCUAGAAGACAUAGGCGGAGUUUGCAGUUAUUAACCAUGGUCGGUUUAAUUUUCUACAGUCUUGUAGAACGUUUUGUGUCCAGUACAUUGUGUCCUUGUUAGAAACAAUGGGCUAGGCCCAUAUAAAAUUCCUGAAAUCUCAAAAAAGAAGGCUCGUGGAUAAAAGUUUAGUCUCACCCUGGAAUUUGAGAAGACGUGAGACCUCUUUAUAUCACUAGUGCAGAAAUGCCUACUAGCGGCGUUCGGAGAACAUCGUUAGCGGUGCUUAGGUCCAACGCCACUAGUAUGACGCAAGUGAUGAGGGUUCACUAGCGGUGUCAAGACCCGACGCCACUAACUGACUGCACAUUACCUUCGUCGGUACUCAACAUCCUGCUAAAUGCUAUAGGUAAAGAAAAUAGUAGUGGCGUUUAUACUGUUCGAGCGCUGGUAAUCAAUGAUUAAAUAGUGGCAUUCUGCUUCUUUCCGGCGCCGCUAGUAAAUGCUGACGGUUUUACAAAAAAAGAUGUUGCCCAGGCAAUUUUUUCUGUAAUUAGACACAUGCUAUUAUACAUAACCUAAAGCAAUGACAAGUAAAUCUUAGUUGUGC
RNAcentral lists this ribosomal RNA (7621 nucleotides) under Triticum aestivum (bread wheat). RNAcentral's name for it is "partial small subunit ribosomal RNA". Lineage: Eukaryota; Viridiplantae; Streptophyta; Magnoliopsida; Poales; Poaceae. The record is from RNAcentral.